RNAcentral lists this ribosomal RNA (253 nucleotides) under uncultured bacterium. RNAcentral's name for it is "partial 16S ribosomal RNA". It matches the Rfam family "Bacterial small subunit ribosomal RNA", at positions 524 to 776 of the family's 1533-position model. The record is from RNAcentral.
UACGGAGGGGGCUAGCGUUGUUCGGAAUUACUGGGCGUAAAGCGCACGUAGGCGGCUUUGUAAGUUAGAGGUGAAAGCCCGGGGCUCAACCCCGGAACUGCCUUUAAGACUGCAUCGCUUGAACGUCGGAGAGGUGAGUGGAAUUCCGAGUGUAGAGGUGAAAUUCGUAGAUAUUCGGAAGAACACCAGUGGCGAAGGCGGCUCACUGGACGACUGUUGACGCUGAGGUGCGAAAGCGUGGGGAGCAAACAGG